RNAcentral lists this ribosomal RNA (450 nucleotides) under uncultured Glomeromycotina. RNAcentral's name for it is "SSU rRNA". It matches the Rfam family "Eukaryotic small subunit ribosomal RNA", at positions 569 to 1021 of the family's 1831-position model. The record is from RNAcentral. Lineage: Eukaryota; Fungi; Glomeromycota.
CGCAGCCGCGGUAAUUCCAGCUCCAAUAGCGUAUAUUAAAGUUGUUGCAGUUAAAAAGCUCGUAGUUGAAUUUCGGGGUUCAUCCGUUGGUCGGGCUUUUUGGUCUGUACUGGCGUGAUGGAUUCCUACCUUCUGAAUAACCAGCAUGUCAUUAAUUUGGUGCGCUGGGGAAGCAGGACUGUUACCUUGAAAAAAUUAGAGUGCUUAAAGCAGGCUAUCGCCUGAAUACAUUAGCAUGGAAUAAUGAAAUAGGACGGCAUGGUUCUAUUUUGUUGGUUUCUAGGAUCACCGUAAUGAUUAAUAGGGAUAGUUGGGGGCAUUAGUAUUCAAUUGUCAGAGGUGAAAUUCUUGGAUUUAUUGAAGACUAACUACUGCGAAAGCAUUUGCCAAGGAUGUUUUCAUUAAUCAAGAACGAAAGUUAGGGGAUCGAAGACGAUCAGAUACCGUCGU